GUACCGUGAGGGAAAGGCGAAAAGAACCCCGGCGAGGGGAGUGAAAAAGAACCUGAAACCGUGUACGUACAAGCAGUGGGAGCACGCUUAGGCGUGUGACUGCGUACCUUUUGUAUAAUGGGUCAGCGACUUAUAUUCUGUAGCAAGGUUAACCGAAUAGGGGAGCCGAAGGGAAACCGAGUCUUAACUGGGCGUUAAGUUGCAGGGUAUAGACCCGAAACCCGGUGAUCUAGCCAUGGGCAGGUUGAAGGUUGGGUAACACUAACUGGAGGACCGAACCGACUAAUGUUGAAAAAUUAGCGGAUGACUUGUGGCUGGGGGUGAAAGGCCAAUCAAACCGGGAGAUAGCUGGUUCUCCCCGAAAGCUAUUUAGGUAGCGCCUCGUGAAUUCAUCUCCGGGGGUAGAGCACUGUUUCGGCAAGGGGGUCAUCCCGACUUACCAACCCGAUGCAAACUGCGAAUACCGGAGAAUGUUAUCACGGGAGACACACGGCGGGUGCUAACGUCCGUCGUGAAGAGGGAAACAACCCAGACCGCCAGCUAAGGUCCCAAAGUCAUGGUUAAGUGGGAAACGAUGUGGGAAGGCCCAGACAGCCAGGAUGUUGGCUUAGAAGCAGCCAUCAUUUAAAGAAAGCGUAAUAGCUCACUGGUCGAGUCGGCCUGCGCGGAAGAUGUAACGGGGCUAAACCAUGCACCGAAGCUGCGGCAGCGACGCUGAUGCGUUGUUGGGUAGGGGAGCGUUCUGUAAGCCUGUGA
This 756-nucleotide ribosomal RNA is filed under the name Escherichia coli. RNAcentral describes it as "partial 23S ribosomal RNA". It matches the Rfam family "Bacterial large subunit ribosomal RNA", at positions 498 to 1253 of the family's 2925-position model. The record is from RNAcentral. Lineage: Bacteria; Pseudomonadati; Pseudomonadota; Gammaproteobacteria; Enterobacterales; Enterobacteriaceae.